This 489-nucleotide ribosomal RNA is filed under the name uncultured bacterium. Its description in RNAcentral is "partial 16S ribosomal RNA". It matches the Rfam family "Bacterial small subunit ribosomal RNA", at positions 30 to 507 of the family's 1533-position model. The record is from RNAcentral.
UUGAACGCUGGCGGCAGGCCUAACACAUGCAAGUCGAACGGUAACAGGAAGAAGCUUGCUUCUUUGCUGACGAGUGGCGGACGGGUGAGUAAUGUCUGGGAAACUGCCUGAUGGAGGGGGAUAACUACUGGAAACGGUAGCUAAUACCGCAUAACGUCGCAAGACCCAAGAGGGGGACCUUCGGGCCUCUUGCCAUCGGAUGUGCCCAGAUGGGAUUAGCUAGUAGGUGGGGUAACGGCUCACCUAGGCGACGAUCCCUAGCUGGUCUGAGAGGAUGACCAGCCACACUGGAACUGAGACACGGUCCAGACUCCUACGGGAGGCAGCAGUGGGGAAUAUUGCACAAAGGGCGCAAGCCUGAUGCAGCCAUGCCGCGUGUAUGAAGAAGGCCUUCGGGUUGUAAAGUACUUUCAGCGGGGAGGAAGGGAGUAAAGUUAAUACCUUUGCUCAUUGACGUUACCCGCAGAAGAAGCACCGGCUAACUCCGUG